GCUUAACGCGAAGAACCUUACCCACCUUUGACAUGUACGGAGUCCUUUAGAGAUAGAGGAGUGCUCGAAAGAGAGCCGUAACACAGGUGCUGCAUGGCUGUCGUCAGCUCGUGUCGUGAGAUGUUGGGUUAAGUCCCGCAACGAGCGCAACCCUUGCCAUUAGUUGCUACGAAAGGGCACUCUAAUGGGACUGCCGGUGACAAACCGGAGGAAGGUGGGGAUGACGUCAAGUCCUCAUGGCCCUUAUAGGUGGGGCUACACACGUCAUACAAUGGCUGGUACAGAGGGUUGCCAACCCGCGAGGGGGAGCUAAUCCCAUAAAGCCAGUCGUAGUCCGGAUCGCAGUCUGCAACUCGACUGCGUGAAGUCGGAAUCGCUAGUAAUCGCGGAUCAGAAUGUCGCGGUGAAUACGUUCCCGGGUCUUGUACACACCG
RNAcentral lists this ribosomal RNA (434 nucleotides) under uncultured bacterium. Its description in RNAcentral is "bacterial SSU rRNA". It matches the Rfam family "Bacterial small subunit ribosomal RNA", at positions 954 to 1392 of the family's 1533-position model. The record is from RNAcentral.